Molecule: ribosomal RNA, 315 nt
Filed under: uncultured crenarchaeote
Lineage: Archaea; Thermoproteati; Thermoproteota
Description: bacterial SSU rRNA
Rfam family: Archaeal small subunit ribosomal RNA
Source: RNAcentral
CAUCCGUAGCCGGCUCUGUAAGUUUUCGGUUAAAUCUGUACGCUCAACGUACAGGCUGCCGGGAAUACUGCAGAGCUAGGGAGUGGGAGAGGUAGACGGUACUCGGUAGGAAGGGGUAAAAUCCUUUGAUCUAUAGAUGACCACCUGUGGCGAAGGCGGUCUACCAGAACACGUCCGACGGUGAGGGAUGAAAGCUGGGGGAGCAAACCGGAUUAGAUACCCGGGUAGUCCCAGCUGUAAACUAUGCAAACUCAGUGAUGCAUUGACUUGUGGUCAAUGCAGUGCUGCAGGGAAACCGUUAAGUUUGCCGCCUGG